Molecule: ribosomal RNA, 460 nt
Filed under: uncultured Prevotella sp.
Lineage: Bacteria; Pseudomonadati; Bacteroidota; Bacteroidia; Bacteroidales; Prevotellaceae
Description: bacterial SSU rRNA
Rfam family: Bacterial small subunit ribosomal RNA
Source: RNAcentral
CCUACGGGAGGCAGCAGUGAGGAAUAUUGGUCAAUGGACGUAAGUCUGAACCAGCCAAGUAGCGUGCAGGAUGACGGCCCUAUGGGUUGUAAACUGCUUUUAUGUGAGAAUAAAGUUAACUACGUGUAGUUAUUUGCAUGUAUCACAUGAAUAAGGACCGGCUAAUUCCGUGCCAGCAGCCGCGGUAAUACGGAAGGUCCAGGCGUUAUCCGGAUUUAUUGGGUUUAAAGGGAGCGUAGGCCGUUUGGUAAGCGUGCUGUGAAAUUUAGGGGCUCAACCUCUACCGUGCAGCGCGAACUGUCAGACUUGAGUGCGUAGUAGGUAGGCGGAAUUCGUGGUGUAGCGGUGAAAUGCUUAGAUAUCACGAAGAACUCCGAUUGCGAAGGCAGCUUACCGUAUCGCAACUGACGCUGAUGCUCGAAGGUGCGGGUAUCGAACAGGAUUAGAUACCCGGGUAGUC